Long non-coding RNA from Ostrinia nubilalis (European corn borer), 396 nucleotides. RefSeq lists it as uncharacterized. The transcript has 3 exons. The record is from RefSeq and is a predicted model, not a curated record. NCBI's taxonomy places the organism in Eukaryota, Metazoa, Arthropoda, Insecta, Lepidoptera, Crambidae.
CAUAAUGCGGUUGUCUCUAGUCUUAGGCCUUUUGGUGUUAUGCCCUUUUAUACCAGAAAUAUCAAGUUAUCAUCGCAAGGUUAGACAGAAUAGUGGGAACAAGCAUGUGAUUCGCGGCGAUGGAAGCCCUGAAAACGAAGAUGACGUCUCUGACAGUGAAUUGUCUGAAAUGGAGAAACACAAUAAUUUAAUAAAAAAACACAAAAUGAAGUGGUACAGCUCCGAUAGAUGGCAACAUUUAAAAGAUAAUUUUGUAUUAAAUCCAUAUUCUCCAAAAUUUACCAAAGGCACAGGAAAAAAACUGCCUUUAAGCAAGAAUAAUGUUAACAUAGUUGUGAAGGGAAAUCAAUACAAUAAUGGUGGCAAAGGUGGAAAAGGGGGUAAAGGGGGUAAAGG